AGGGCAGCUGUGCUACUUUUGUUUCGACAAUUCAAAGGUAGCCAGCAAAUAGGGCGAUGAGGGAGGCGGCGGGGAGGAGGAGGAGGAUGGAGGAGUUGCGGUUAUGUGAGGGUGAGAGAGUGAAGGAGGCAUGCGGGAAAAAAAAAAUUAAGGGUACUGGCAGCAUGGGAGAGGGGUAUGGAGGGGAGUACAGGGGGGGCAGCAUGGAAGAGGGGUAUGGAGGGCGGUACGGGGA
Molecule: long non-coding RNA, 235 nt
Filed under: Ananas comosus (pineapple)
Lineage: Eukaryota; Viridiplantae; Streptophyta; Magnoliopsida; Poales; Bromeliaceae
Description: long non-coding RNA (ACOM_LNC036941)
Source: RNAcentral